Tympanuchus pallidicinctus (lesser prairie-chicken) is the source of this 1187-nucleotide long non-coding RNA. RefSeq lists it as uncharacterized. Lineage: Eukaryota; Metazoa; Chordata; Aves; Galliformes; Phasianidae. The record is from RefSeq and is a predicted model, not a curated record. The transcript is spliced from 2 exons.
AAUCUGUACUCUGCCACGGAUGAUCACAGAAUAGAAUCAUAGAAUAUCGCAAGUUGGGAGGGACCUGAAAGGAUCACUGAGUCCGAUACCUGGCUCCACACAGCACUACCCAGAAAUCUGACCAUGUGUCUGAAAGCAUUGUCCAGAUGGAUUCAAGAUGGAGAUGGGUGUUCUGUAGUCCUUACAGAGAGAUCAGGGCCUGCUUUUGUAAUAGGUACCAUUCAUACGUGUAUCAGAGCAGGAAGAAAAACUGGGGAAAGGAGAACAAGCCAGGGUAGGUACAGAAGGAGUGAUUUGCACAGGUUCGUAAAGCUUAUCAGCACCAAUAUGUUUUUUCUAAACCCUCCAUAAUGCUCUGAAUUGCUGGAAGCUGACAAGAAAUAUCUCAAGGAGGACUGUUUUAUUCUUGUUAUGUUUCCUAUACACCCACUCAAGCCCUCAGAGGCAGGAUAUUGGAUUAGACAGUUGUUAGGUCUGACCUAGCUUACUCUCAUGUAAUAAUUUCCCAAGCUGGAUCUAUUUUUUCACCUUGAUGUGAAGUAAUCACAUAGCUUGUUCUUCUCCUGCUGCCUGUGCCCUGCUGUAGUAUGUUUGAUGAUGCUAGUCUCGUUUCUGAUUUGUUUGUAUAACCAUGCCCAUAGUCUCAUCAUCAGCUAGGCACAAAAUAGGGCAUACAGUGGGCUGAGGGCAAGGAAGUAAAUGCAUGUACUGUGCUCCCACAGCAAGCAGUUCCUUGCUGCAUUAGACCAAUCCUGGGUGAGUGACAAGUCCUGAUUCAUAAUUAAAUCUUCCUUGGCUGGGUUGCCAUAUGAACUGGGAGAAAUGUUGUCAUCUUGGGGAAAGAAAAGCAAUGUACUCCCCAGUCUGAUUCCUAACUCGUGUUCCUCUGUAUUUUACUGUUUGCUGUAACAAAUAUCUUGUAAUUCAAGCUCUCCAUAGGUGGGGUCAAACUGUGCUCAGCAGAGUUUCAAUAGAUAGCAGAUUUCUUUCAAUUUAAAAUGACAAGUGUUUAGCUUUUAACUGACUCCUGCCAUUCACCAUAAAUCUCACCUUUCCUCCUCCCAGGUUAAACAUGUCAGCUCUGACUUUUGUCCAUCCACACAUUCUGAAAACAACAGCUUCUUAUUGCCUACAUGUAGAGAGUAGUGGAAGAUCAACAGUAAGAAAUAAAAGUUAGUUCUGCCCAA